This 780-nucleotide long non-coding RNA is filed under the name Pan troglodytes (chimpanzee). Its description in RNAcentral is "long non-coding RNA NONPTRT015657". The record is from RNAcentral. Lineage: Eukaryota; Metazoa; Chordata; Mammalia; Primates; Hominidae.
GGGAUCCUGGCUGUUCCCAAAUCUCGCCUGCCUGCGAGGAGCCAGCGUGCCCCGGGCAGCUGAUCUCAACCUGUGAUUGUGACAUCACCCCUACCUGAGGAAGCCUCUUCCAGCCUGCUCAAGGUUGCCGUAGUUAGGUUUACCCUCCCUUCCUUCCCUCACCCCGUCCUUUCCCUCAUCCCUGCCGCUUCCUCUGUCCCACGCGGCUUUCAGAGAUGCAUAGUGCAGCCCCUCGGUAAAGGUGCAGCUAAUGGCCCGUGGGCCUAGCAGUUGUCAGGCCUUUUGGGAGCCCAUGAUGGGAGCUCGCUGGUAAGUGAAACCGUCAAUUAACUGCCUAAAAUGACAAUACCCCGUCUCUGGUAUCUUUGCACUUGCCUCUUCAAAGCCACCUUUUCCUUUUCUCUCUCUCUGGACUGUCACAGAUCCUCCUCUGUACCCCAAGAACACCCCAUUGGAUUUCCAGGCUGGCUGCUUGGCCUACACACCUGGGUCAGGCCUCUCGCAGGGAUGCGCCUGCCACUGUAAUAAAGAGGAGAAAACGUCACACGGGAAAGGCCUGACUCCUUCGUACAAUCAGAAUACUCAACUGCACAGAGAAGGGACCCCUUUAAGCCACUUUGGGAGCCACAUCCACCACUCUGUGACUCCCACACAGGCUGGUUCCCAGGUAUCAGGUGUCCUAGUGUUAACACGGGCCAAAAGGACAAAACAGGACCCUAGGUCCUUCCCAAAACAUUAGGAAAGUUUGUGCACUGAGUUUUUCAGAUUAACUAAGUAAUU